Molecule: unclassified non-coding RNA, 369 nt
Filed under: Hevea brasiliensis (rubber tree)
Lineage: Eukaryota; Viridiplantae; Streptophyta; Magnoliopsida; Malpighiales; Euphorbiaceae
Source: RNAcentral
GGAAAAUUCAAAAUUAUGGAGGUACAUAAACGGAAAUAUAUACACGACGGAGAGAUCGAAGCAAAAAAGCAAAUGAAAACGGAGGAAAUUGAUGGAACGGCGGCUCCGGUGACGGCGGCGGCGGUGGUGGAGGACGACGAAGUGGAGGAGUUUUAUGCUAUACUGCGGAGAAUACGAGUGGCGGUGAAGUAUUUCGAGAAGGGAAACGCCGAGGGCAGUGGCGCCGGGAGAAAUCUGACGGCGGCGAAGCCGUGGAGUCCGAAUUUCCGGCAGGAGGAAUUGAAACGGGCUGUUGACGGCGUUAAAGAGAGAGAAACCGUGGAAGAUAAUGCGGGUUUGGAUCUUAACGCCGACCCGGUUACUGAUCCG